GAAUUUAUCUUUUCAGUAUUGGGCUUUUA
This 29-nucleotide non-coding RNA is filed under the name Mus musculus (house mouse). The record is from RNAcentral. Lineage: Eukaryota; Metazoa; Chordata; Mammalia; Rodentia; Muridae.